UACGUAGGGGGCAAGCGUUGUUCGGAAUUACUGGGCGUAAAGGGCGCGUAGGCGGUUCGUUAAGUCGCGUGUGAAAGCCCCCGGCUCAACUGGGGAGGGUCACGCGAUACUGGUCGACUCGAAGGCAGGAGAGGGUAGUGGAAUUCCCGGUGUAGUGGUGAAAUGCGUAGAUAUCGGGAGGAACACCAGUGGCGAAGGCGACUACCUGGCCUGUUCUUGACGCUGAGGCGCGAAAGCUAGGGGAGCAAACGGG
Molecule: ribosomal RNA, 253 nt
Filed under: uncultured bacterium
Lineage: Bacteria
Description: partial 16S ribosomal RNA
Rfam family: Bacterial small subunit ribosomal RNA
Source: RNAcentral